This 253-nucleotide ribosomal RNA is filed under the name uncultured bacterium. RNAcentral describes it as "partial 16S ribosomal RNA". It matches the Rfam family "Bacterial small subunit ribosomal RNA", at positions 524 to 776 of the family's 1533-position model. The record is from RNAcentral.
UACAGGGGGUGCAAACGUUGCUCGGAAUCAUUGGGCGUAAAGCGCACGUAGGCGGUCUGUUAUGUCGGAUGUGAAAGCCCUUGGCUCAACUGAGGAAGUGCAUCCGAAACUGGCAGGCUAGAGUACGAAAGAGGAUCGCGGAAUUCCCGGUGUAGAGGUGAAAUUCGUAGAUAUCGGGAGGAACACCGGUGGCGAAGGCGGGUCUCUGGACAGUUCCUGACACUGAGGCACGAAGGCCAGGGGAGCAAACGGG